GGCUGGGAAGCGGCCGGUGCGGGACCUCCUCUUGCUUCCAUUUCUCGUACCCCUUGUGCCUUCAAAGGCGAAGCGAAUGACGGUCACUGCCCAAGAGGGGCGAAGACUUACCCAAAUUCGUGCGACCGCGGUGCCUAGGCAGGGCAGGAGGGAUGCUACGCGGUCCUGUGGCUGGGCGUUGUGCAGGCUCGUUAAGGGUCACCGCGGGCACGGCUUCUGGGACGCUUUCGUGGAGGCUGUCCUUCAAAGGGGCCCAAUAAAGACGGGCAGCUCUCCUGCCAUUCUCAAGGAAGACGCUGGCGCGUGGACGCCAUCCAACGAGGCCUCGAUCGAAGCUUGUGACUCUCCGUCAGAUAAUCGGGAUGGGGGGACUCCUGGAGAAAUCGGAGAAUCGCCAAAGCCGAAACGCCAGCAAGCGCUUGCGGUCGAGCAGUGUGCCGCGUGGCAACGACAGCAACGAUGGCGAACCCUCAUCGUCUGCUGAGCGGCUAGUCGCGCCACCUGCUGGGCUUCUUACGUCGACUGUUCGACGCUACCUUUGCUUACCUACGACUCAUUCCCGAAGCAGCAAGGGGGAGAAAGCGACUUCCCUCGCAGCCCAGUUUUACCUCAUGACCGUCAGCCAAGCACAGAUUCCGCUGCUCUGCCUGACGCUGUGGAAAGAGGCCAAGCUGUGCGACGGUGGCGGCUUUAUUCAACGCGCAAAGGUGUACAGGUUCUGAGUUGCAAGAAAAGAAAACGAAGAAAGUGAGCUCAGGUGACGUGAGGAAUUCGGAGAUUAAUGCUGCGACUGUGCGCUUGGGGGGAGGGGGGGGGGAAGCUUUUCUGUGUGCCUUGUAAGCCGCCUCAGCUCUCUGCGACGGCUUUGGAUGGCACCCAUUGCCGCUAAUACCACAGUUCUAUGUCGGCCGAUUGCAAAGGCGCGCUCAUGGAAGCCCCUACGGCUCCAACGGAGCGGAUGCGACAGGAUCGCACGUCGGCCAAUGCAGUCGAUCGUCUCGACGCAGCAUGUGCAGCUGCGCGGGGUGUCACGAGGGAUCAGCGACACAAGUAGAGAUGGCUUAGCUGAUUUGCACCAGUAUCACCCAGAGUAGCACUAGCACGGCUCAUGACGCCAUAGGCCUUGUUGGGACUGCCUCCAUCGUGAGUGUCGGCAAGGCACUCUGUGCUAGCAAAGACAUGAUGGUCACAUGUUCAAGUGCGGCACGCGGGGGUCGCAAGCUCAGUCCGCGCCGCUCGCACUUGCUUUCGCCCGCAAUGCCUACUUGCGUGUGCACGAGGAAGGAACUCGCCGUCCGCGGGCGUAAUGCCCCACCACCUGCAAAGCACGUGCAUGACCGGGAAAACAAAAUCCGUUUUUUGUCCUGCUGCGGGGCGCAGUCCGCACACGCUCGAGAGAGCCUUGCCCGGCUUUACAUCGGUCAAAAGCACCCGAGUGCGCGACACGGAGGCGGGCAUGCGCGUGGCUAAUGUCACUGAGGCAUCUGCGAUGGCCGACUACCCCGACGAAGCUGCUUACUGCAGGGCCGGCUGACAUGUCAUGGGCGACCGUCGUGUCGAGAAACCUGCGUGCAGACACAAACGUGUUCAAGAUGGCGGAUGCACAAGAAAAUGGCACGCAUUCGAGCAUAAAAUGCAGGCUUGAGCAAAAAAAAAAAGGAUAGCCCUAACGUGACCACCGACCUUGACUUCAGCGGUGGGACCCACGUGUAUGAUGUUGCGCCAAGAAGGGGGCGGCAGUAAUCCGCAUAGGUUCUCUGCAAGCCUGCAUCCAGUUUGACAGCGCAGCUGACCGACUUUCUUCAUCUGGUCUGCACAGCAAGGUCGUGCAUGAUCUGGUUCGUGGUCUUCGCGGUACGGCGUCUGCAGAGCCCUACCUGCUGCGGCAUAUCAGGGAAGCCGGCAACAUGGAUCGAGUAUCUUAUGCUUGUCUUGAUGCGCUUUUGCCGUGUUCACGCGUACGUUCUGCGGUGUGUCCUUCUGGCGCCGACACCGUGCGAUAUGUGUUUCUGUGUGCGCUGUACAGCGCUUCUUUCCUUCACUGUACUCGCUUUAAGGCAGUCCUCUUCAACACUGCAGAGGCGGUGCGGUACGACAGCGAGAGAAGGGCGAUCAACUGCGCGUGUCUCUUCUUUGUUUAUCUCUCUCUUCUCAACUCUUCCCGCUGAGAAGAUCGACGUUUGGCUUUUCCUGCUGACCUCCUCUUUUCGAAGCCAUGCGCGCGGGCUGUUUUUUUUUUUCCGAGAGGGGGGAUGGCGGGCUGUUGCUGUUGCGAACACUUUACUUGCCAUGUAGUCUCUUACCGCUUGAGCGUGCUGACGGAUUGUCUCUUUUUUUCGCCCCUCCCCUCUCCCGAUGCUCUGGCGCCGUUCUGAACUGAUAUCUUCUUGUUUCUUCAAUGGAGUGCCCGGCCACGGUCGGCCCUCUCCCUCUUUCGUGUGUGUCUCUCUUUUUCUCCACAUUUUUGCUUUGAAUUUUGAGUGUGGACGCCGUGCUGCUUCAGCUAUUCUUCGCAUAUCCGGUCAUUUUAAACGUUUUUUUUUCGAUUCUCCACUGCGUCUCCGCCUUGGCUUCUCGCAUGUGGCCGUUGUGUAGUGGUGUUUCAUCCGCUCACAGGUUCCGUCGUUUUGUGCGACUGUCUGUGACAAGCCGGAGGUAAUAUAAGCAGCCGUGGACGUAUGCAUAGAGAUCUCGCCCUCUGCCGUCGCUGGUGCUCUAAGCGUUCUGUCGCUGAUC
This 2736-nucleotide unclassified non-coding RNA is filed under the name Leishmania donovani. RNAcentral's name for it is "gene:LdHU3.31.1490(CDS-product:hypothetical_prote in_conserved)". Lineage: Eukaryota; Euglenozoa; Kinetoplastea; Trypanosomatida; Trypanosomatidae. The record is from RNAcentral.